Long non-coding RNA from Eubalaena glacialis (North Atlantic right whale), 602 nucleotides. RefSeq lists it as uncharacterized. NCBI's taxonomy places the organism in Eukaryota, Metazoa, Chordata, Mammalia, Artiodactyla, Balaenidae. The transcript is spliced from 3 exons. The record is from RefSeq and is a predicted model, not a curated record.
GAGAGAACUGUGAAUCUGACCAAAUCAUGGCCACUGGGUGUUCAUCUUUGCAGUGCUGUGUGGAGAGAUGGCCCUGGGAGCUCUUUAUUGAAACAACUCGCAGCACAGUAUUUGAGACAGAGAGCGUUGGCUGGCCGAAUCCCAGGAGGCUGAGAAAUUAAGGUUCCAGCACCCGUCUCUGCCCUCCUGGGGAGGAUUCCUCCAUGAAGGCAACCAGGCCUGAGCAGCCCCAGGCUGGAAGGUGCAAAAGGAACACAUCUAGAUUCAGCCCAUCUCUGCAUUGCUGCAGUGCCCCCAUGUCCCCUCAUUUCUGGAUCCAAGGGGCCAUCUCAAGAGAGCAUGUGGAGGGACUUCCCUGGCGGAGCAGUGGUUAAGAAUCCACCUGCCAAUGCAGGGGAUAUGUGUUCGAGCCCUGGUCUGGGAAGAUCCCACAUGCUGCGAAGCAACUAAGCCUGCGCACCACAACUACUGAAGCCCGCGUGCCUAGAGCCUGUGCUCUGCAACAAGAGAAGCCACCGCAAUGAGAAACCCGUGCACUGCAACAAAGGGUAGCCCCUGCUCGCCGCAAAGAGAGAAAGUUCAAGCACAGCAACAAAGACCCA